RNAcentral lists this ribosomal RNA (396 nucleotides) under uncultured bacterium. RNAcentral's name for it is "partial 16S ribosomal RNA". It matches the Rfam family "Bacterial small subunit ribosomal RNA", at positions 523 to 918 of the family's 1533-position model. The record is from RNAcentral.
AUACGUAGGGAGCGAGCGUUGUCCGGAAUUACUGGGUGUAAAGGGAGCGUAGGCGGGAGUGCAAGUCAGAUGUGAAAUACAUGGGCUCAACCCAUGGGCUGCAUUUGAAACUGCAUUUCUUGAGUGAAGUAGAGGUAAGCGGAAUUCCUGGGGUCGCGGUGAAAUGCGUAGAUAUCAGGAGGAACACCGGUGGCGAAGGCGGCUUACUGGGCUUUUACUGACGCUGAGGCUCGAAAGCGUGGGGAGCAAACAGGAUUAGAUACCCUGGUAGUCCACGCUGUAAACGAUGAUUACUAGGUGUGGGGGGACUGACCCCUUCCGUGCCGCAGUUAACACAAUAAGUAAUCCACCUGGGGAGUACGGCCGCAAGGUUGAAACUCAAAUGAAUUGACGGGG